This 377-nucleotide ribosomal RNA is filed under the name uncultured bacterium. RNAcentral describes it as "bacterial SSU rRNA". It matches the Rfam family "Bacterial small subunit ribosomal RNA", at positions 523 to 898 of the family's 1533-position model. The record is from RNAcentral.
AUACGUAGGGGGCGAGCGUUGUCCGGAAUUACUGGGCGUAAAGGGUGCGUAGGCGGCUUGGCAAGUCCUGUGUGAAAGGUCGCGGCUUAACCGCGGUGGGUCAUGGGAAACUGCUGAGCUAGAGUGCCGGAGAGGAUAGCGGAAUUCCAGGUGUAGCGGUGAAAUGCGUAGAGAUCUGGAGGAACACCAGUGGCGAAGGCGGCUAUCUGGAAGGUUACUGACGCUGAGGCACGACAGCUGGGGGAGCAAACAGGAUUAGAUACCCUGGUAGUCCCAGCCGUAAACGAUGAGUGCUAGGUGUUGGGGGUAUCAACCCCUCCAGUGCCGAAGUUAACACAAUAAGCACUCCGCCUGGGGAGUACGGCCGCAAGGCUGAA